This 284-nucleotide ribosomal RNA is filed under the name uncultured cyanobacterium. RNAcentral describes it as "partial 16S ribosomal RNA". It matches the Rfam family "Bacterial small subunit ribosomal RNA", at positions 1223 to 1504 of the family's 1533-position model. The record is from RNAcentral. Lineage: Bacteria; Bacillati; Cyanobacteriota.
UACUACAAUGGUCGGGACAAAGGGCAGCGAACCUGCGAAGGGAAGCUAAUCUCAGAAACCCGGUCCCAGUUCAGAUUGCUCUCUGCAACUCGAGAGCAUGAAGGAGGAAUCGCUAGUAAUCGCCGGUCAGCAUACGGCGGUGAAUCCGUUCCCGGGCCUUGUACACACCGCCCGUCACACCAUGGAAGUUGGCCACGCCCGAAGUCGUUACCCUAACCCUUAGGGGAGGGGGAUGCCGAAGGCAGGGCUGAUGACUGGGGUGAAGUCGUAACAAGGUAGCCGUA